This 496-nucleotide ribosomal RNA is filed under the name uncultured bacterium. RNAcentral's name for it is "partial 16S ribosomal RNA". It matches the Rfam family "Bacterial small subunit ribosomal RNA", at positions 899 to 1397 of the family's 1533-position model. The record is from RNAcentral.
ACUCAAAUGAAUUGACGGGGGCCCGCACAAGCGGCGGAGCAUGUGGCUUAAUUCGACGCAACGCGAAGAACCUUACCUGGGUUUGACAUGCGGGGCAAAGCUGGUGAAAACCAGCGCUCUACGGAGCCCGCACAGGUGGUGCAUGGCUGUCGUCAGCUCGUGCCGUGAGGUGUUGCCUUAAGUGGCGCAACGAGCGCAACCCCUAUCCUCAGUUGCCAGCGGGUCAUGCCGGGAACUCUGGGGAGACUGCCGGUGCCAAACCGGAGGAAGGUGGGGAUGAGGUCAAGUCAUCAUGCCCCUUAUAUCCAGGGCUGCACACAUGCUACAAUGCGUGGUACAAAGGGCUGCGAUCCCGUAAGGGGGAGCGAAUCCCAAAAAGCCACGCUCAGUUCGGAUCGGGGUCUGCAACUCGACCCCGUGAAGUCGGAGUCGCUAGUAAUCGCAGAUCAGCAAUGCUGCGGUGAAUACGUUCCCGGGCCUUGUACACACCGCCCGU